RNAcentral lists this long non-coding RNA (362 nucleotides) under Monodelphis domestica (gray short-tailed opossum). RNAcentral describes it as "lncRNA (ENSMODG00000047635.1)". Lineage: Eukaryota; Metazoa; Chordata; Mammalia; Didelphimorphia; Didelphidae. The record is from RNAcentral.
CUGAUGAGUCACUAUUUAUAUGUCAAACUCUGAUACUUUAAAAUGAAGACAUUCUACAAUAUUUUGUUAUUAAUAUUAUUAUUUAUAUGGCUGAUUAUUGUCUUCUAUUUAUCUUAGGAAGAUAGGGAAAAACUUCUCGAGGGAGCUAUAUAAGAGUUCCUGAGAUAAAAUGAAAAAUACACUCAAUGAAAAGUCAGAACAUCUAGAAAUCUGGAUUCAAGUUCUCACUCCACCACUUAGAAGCUGUCUGAACCUGGGAAAUUUUUCAAGAAUAUAAUAUGGAGAAAAGCUGCUUAUCUCCCCUCAAGAAGACAUUUUCCACACUGGGAGUUGUUCACACCAAAGAAAUCUUGGACCAGGAC